RNAcentral lists this ribosomal RNA (457 nucleotides) under uncultured bacterium. RNAcentral describes it as "partial 16S ribosomal RNA". It matches the Rfam family "Bacterial small subunit ribosomal RNA", at positions 338 to 795 of the family's 1533-position model. The record is from RNAcentral.
CCUACGGGUGGCAGCAGUGGGGAAUAUUGCACAAUGGGGGAAACCCUGAUGCAGCGACGCCGCGUGAGUGAAGAAGUAUUUCGGUAUGUAAAGCUCUAUCAGCAGGGAAGAAACACACCCUCUGGGGUGACUGGCGGGACCUGGCGUAGAAGCCCCGGCUAAAGACGUGCCAGCAGCCGCGGUAAUACGUAGGGGGCAAGGGUUAUCCGGAGUUACUGGGUGUAAAGGGGGCGUUGGUGGCCCGGCAAGUCAGAUGUGAAAACCCGGGGCUCAACCCCGGCAGUGCAUUUGAAACUGGCUGGCUAGAGUGCGGGAGAGGUAAGUGGAAUUCCUAGUGUAGCGGUGAAAUGCAUAGAUAUUAGGAGGAACACCAGUGGCGAAGGCGGCUUACUGGACUGUAACUGACACUGAGGCUCGAAAGCGUGGGGAGCAAACAGGAUUAGAUACCCCAGUAGUC